RNAcentral lists this RNase P RNA (358 nucleotides) under Actinomycetota bacterium. RNAcentral describes it as "RNase P RNA component class A". It matches the Rfam family "Bacterial RNase P class A". Rfam says of the family: Ribonuclease P (RNase P) is a ubiquitous endoribonuclease, found in archaea, bacteria and eukarya as well as chloroplasts and mitochondria. The record is from RNAcentral. Lineage: Bacteria; Bacillati; Actinomycetota.
GGAGUCGGCCGGGCGGCCGCGGCGCGACAGCGUCGAGGAAAGUCCGGACUCCGCAGGGCAGGACGCUGGGGAAAAUCCCAGGCGGGGCGACCCGUGGAGAGCGCCACAGAAACAGACCGCCUCCAUUCGGAGGUAAGGGUGAAAAGGUGAGGUAAGAGCUCACCAGCGGGCCGGGUGACCGGUCCGGCUAGGCAAGCCCCGUCCGGAGCAAGGUCGAGCAGGAGGUAUGGGCGGCCCGUCCGUUACGCCUCCGGGUGGACCGCACGAGGCGAACGGCAACGUUCGUCCCAGAUGGAUGGUCGCCGGCACCGGCACGCCGGUGUGUACACAGAAUCCGGCUUAUAGGCCGGCUCCCAGA